Molecule: ribosomal RNA, 253 nt
Filed under: uncultured bacterium
Lineage: Bacteria
Description: partial 16S ribosomal RNA
Rfam family: Bacterial small subunit ribosomal RNA
Source: RNAcentral
GACGUAGGGUCCGAGCGUUGUCCGGAGUUACUGGGCGUAAAGGGUGUGUAGGCGGUUGUUUAAGUUUGGUGUGAAAUCUCCCGGCUCAACUGGGAGGGUGCGCCGAAUACUGAAUGACUCGAGUGUGGGAGAGGUGAGUGGAAUUCCUGGUGUAGCGGUGAAAUGCGUAGAUAUCAGGAGGAACACCGGUGGCGAAGGCGGGUCUCUGGGCCGAUACUGACGCUGAGGAGCGAAAGCGUGGGGAGCGAACAGG